RNAcentral lists this long non-coding RNA (2806 nucleotides) under Phaseolus vulgaris (common bean). Its description in RNAcentral is "long non-coding RNA (PVUL_LNC001045)". The record is from RNAcentral. Lineage: Eukaryota; Viridiplantae; Streptophyta; Magnoliopsida; Fabales; Fabaceae.
CAAUUAAACUAACUCCCUCACUAACAUUUACUGAUUGAUGCUAAAGAUAUCUAAUGCCCCUAAACAUUUGCUUUUUAUCAUCGUGGCGAACAGCUUGUGAUUGCUGAAAAGAGUUUCACUCUCAACCCCUCUUAUUUAUGAGCACGAUUCCUGAUUUCUUCUAAAUAUCCCAGCCCAACUCCCUUUUUCUUCCUUACUAACAGAUGCUAGAAGAUAUCUAACACUAGCAGACACCUAACAGAAACAUUUCACAGACUUCCUUUCCUUAAAAGAUUUGUUUGAAUUCCUAGUUAAAGGAGUACGAUGUCCUAGAGUACACUCUAGUCUAUCAUUCUGUACCAUAGCACAUUUUCAUAUAUAGUGAAGUAAAUUUCCACAAAAUUUUCCUGAGAUUGUGUGCAUGUUUAUUGACAGGUUGCAAUAUACUCCCCAUGAGAUCAAUGGACAGCGGCUGUGGAAGGUUGAACGGUUGGCUCCCUGAUAAUUUGAUUUUUCUAUUAAAUAUCUCAACUUGUAAAAAACUAAGAAAAUAAAGUUGUUUCUAAAUCUCAGCCUCUUUUUCUUUCAGCAUGUUGAAUUGUGCUGUAUCUAAUUUUUUCAUAUACUUUUACUUUUUUUUAUGGCAUUCUAAAUAGACUUGAUCGCAGGCCUACAUUCCAAGUAAAAAUUUAAUAGUUCAGCAAAAGUAAAUAAAUAAAUAAAUCGGCUGAUAUCAUAUGAUAUGGGAUAGCUUCAUUUAGUCAACUUGAACUAAUCUGAAAUAUUAGAUAGUAGAAAACGUUAUCCAUUAUCUUAAGACAGUGUCUUGUAACAUGUAAGCGAUAAUAAUUAUGUGAAUACCUUGUAUUUAUUGUCCGAUAUUGGUUGCUAGCCCCCUGCCUCGUAUUUCUGAAAUCGCUUGCAUUUGUCACACCUGGAAUCUACCAAAUGUUUACAACUAUGUGAUUUUAAGUUGUUAACCUUUUUCAGCAUCCUUUUUUCAAAGCCGCAUUAUUCUAUUGUAGUUGUUGUAUAUACGGACAAGUAUGUAAGUUUAUUUUGUUUUUCAUGAAACUAAUCAUGGUACCUCAGAUCCAUUGGUUUGAGAUAUUCAAAGGUAUUGCCAUUACCUCAUUUUGAAAUGGAUUUUUCUGAACAGUGUAUUUUACAUUUCAAAAAGUCUAUUUUAGAUUGAGAGGAGGGUAGCUAAGGAAGAUGGGCCUAUAUUUUCAUAGGCCUACUAUUUAUGACAAACUUGAGGUUGUUGCUUCAUACACCCAGCAAAAUUUGAACCUGCAUCAUAGUAAUGUGAAAAGAAUAAAAGUACACUCUUUAGUUUUUAAAUAGGAGUAGGGGGGUUCAAGUUAAAAAUGUAUUUGGGAUUUGUUAUUCUGCAACGCAUUUUUGGAUUAGAUUUUUUGGAACAUUUUUCUGGAUUAGACAUUUAGGAACAAUUUUUCGAAAUAGUCUUUUUCAAAAUAUGUUUCUAGCUUCUUUUUUUUAAUCCAUUUUUUAGAAUAUUUUUUUGGAUUUUUUUUCUGGAAUCUAUUGUAUUAUUUGUAUUAUGGAUUUGUUUUUUUAGAAUGAGAUUUCAGUUUUUCAGUUCUAGAAUACAAAAAAUCUAUUAUAGAUUUCUUUUUCCAAAAUGUAUUUUUCAAUUAUGGAAUGAAGAGCAAUUCUAGAGUUUCAAAAAUCAUUGGGUGCAUAAAGCAAUUGGCCAAACUUGAUAGAAGAUGGUCGAACAAAUAAUUAAUGGGCUCUAAUUGAGUGUAGGAAGGGAAAAUACUUUUACUUCCUGCACCUCCAUAAUUACGAACUGACUCAUACUUAAAAAACCAAAAAUACCCUCCAUUGUGCACCACACUGCUAUUACCAUUGAUCUCACUUCCAUGUUACCUACACUCUUGAAGAGGAAGAAGAAAAAGUGAGAGAUAAUUAGUUGUAAAAAGCUCAUUUCAAAAGACAUUUCAUGUAUUAUGAAAAAAUUAUUCUAGAAAAUUUAUUCCGAAAUGUAUAUAUAUAAGAAAACUUGUAAAAAAAUUAUGUUCUAAAAUCUAUGUUAUGUGUUCCAAAUAAUUUGUUUUGAAAAUAUUAUUAAAGAAAUUCUGUUCCAAAAAAUCUAUUCUAAAAAUUAUAUUUCAAAAUUUAUUCGCAAAUAUUUCUAAACCAAAUAAUGUAGAAGUCACUUCUAAAAGAAUAAAAUGAUUAUUUUAAAUCAUAGAUACAGAUAUAAAUUUUGGGGUACAAGAAGAAAGAAGAAAAAACGAGACUCAUAGCAAGACCAAAACAAAAGUCUCGAGAAAAACACGGGCAGGCGAGAGAUAACAGAACGGGCAGAUCCAGAAAAAGCAUUGAAACCUGAACUGAAUCUGUCUUAAACAGUUUGAGGAUUUUAGCAGAAUUUGACGUUUGAAAAUUGAAGUCCCACACACCUCUACUCUCUCUCUCUCCUCCACUCUCACUUGCCAUCUCUUCACCAAUACUCCGAUCCCCAGCAACAUGAGUGCUAACGCCCCCACCCAAACCCAAACCCAAACCACCGCCACCAAACCUCACGAAGCCGAAACCCAAACCCAAGCCACCGCCACCAAACCUCACGAAACCCAAACCCAAACCACCAGCACCAAACAGGAAGAAUCCCAGUCUGCAUCUCAGCCUCACACCGCCGAUUAUGCUCCAUACCCUAAACUGGACCCAGACGACGUCGUGCCACCUCCUCCUCAACAACAAGAAGCUACCCUCAAUACUGAAUCUCGUGCCCCAAUCUCCGGCGAUGCUGCCACUACCAUGCCCAAAGACUCCAAUCCCUAUGUCACUCCUGCGCCCG